Molecule: long non-coding RNA, 287 nt
Filed under: Ananas comosus (pineapple)
Lineage: Eukaryota; Viridiplantae; Streptophyta; Magnoliopsida; Poales; Bromeliaceae
Description: long non-coding RNA (ACOM_LNC022476)
Source: RNAcentral
UCUUUUCCGAGUGAUUUUAGAGGUAUGGGGAUGAAUUCUUGAGGAAUUUAAGUGUUUCGUCGCAAGUUGGGCGCGAAACGAAAUUGAAAGACAGUAUCCGGAUUACGACGCUAACUUUGAUUGGAUGAAUCAAAGUGAGGCAUGAGGAUAGUUUGUGGCAUCCCUGAAUUAAAUUGGAGGCGUGGGGAUAGUUAAUAGUAUGUUUAGAAGUGUUUGGGGGUGUUCGGCGCGAAGUGGACGCGCGAUUGGACCCCGAAAUAAUGCUGCUGCCAGCAGUGCAGGAAUUG